This 336-nucleotide ribosomal RNA is filed under the name Triticum aestivum (bread wheat). RNAcentral describes it as "partial small subunit ribosomal RNA". Lineage: Eukaryota; Viridiplantae; Streptophyta; Magnoliopsida; Poales; Poaceae. The record is from RNAcentral.
AUGUAUUCCUCCCCAUCCGCUCGCCGGACCAAACCUAGCCACUUCACUUCACUCCCCUCCACCAACCAAGCUCACCUCUAUCUGGAGGUGAUAGAGACUAUGCAGGACUGAGGACAAUCAGCGGGUGUGGCGGCAGCAAUUUUCGAUGACUGCUUUCACUAUGCAUGUGAUUUUGUCAUGACUAGAUUCGAACAUUGUUAUAUAGAGGCAAAUAAAGUAGCUCAUGAACUUGCCAGAUUAGCUAGAUUUUCUUUGACUUCAGACUAUUUUGAGAAGCCUCUAAAUGAAAUUGUAGUGAUCCUCACAAACGAUGUAACGGUUAUCUCAAAUGAAUAA